GGGGGCUGCCACCAGCAAUUCACAGGAGGCCAGCCUGAGGGAGACAAGAGAGGCAGAGCCAGAAGCCUUUUCCUGGCCACCGUCUUCCUCUGUCAGCUUCCCCAGGCUCUAGACCUGGUGCUCACCCCAAUAAAUGGUCUGCCCCCCUCAUUCCCAGAGGCUACAGAGCUGAGGAGCUACAGGGCGAUGUCUUAGCUCCAUUCUCCGCGGUCAUUUCAUGUCCUCUCCUGAAGAGAAAGAAAAUAUAGCAUAGACCCUUAUCGGUGCCUAGCGGGUUGGAGACUGGAAGAGCUGAUGUUCCAGUCCAAAACCAGGCCUGGGUUCUAGCUGGGAGGCAGUUGGGAGACUCGCUUUCCAAGAUGGUGGGAGUGGCAUGCCCUUGAGCCUUUUAAUCUUAGUUGUAUCUCGGCCUGAGGGGAUGGGAGGUCAUCUGCCAUACACAAUGUAUCAAACAAGGUUAAUCCUCCCUCUUUUGCAGAGGCACUUGGUGACAGUGGUGAUACUGACAGAUCUAUGACAACAAACUUAAAGGACACUUCGUUCUGGCUCACAGUUUUGGAGGCCCUGGGCCAGAGCUGAUUGGCUCCAUUCCUUUUAUGGUAAAAUACAAAGGCAUUGAUCUGCUGGGCAGGAAGCAAGAGCAGAGUAGGGCCCCACCGCUCUGGAGCAGAGCUCCCUGACCUAAAGGCUUCCCAGUAGCCCCACCUCCUAAAGGCUUCAUCCCUUCCAAUAGGGAUCCUUGAGCACAAGGGUCUCUGGGGGCUCCUGCCUGGCCCUGGGGACAAGAGCUGGCAUCAGAUGAGGUCCACUCAAUAGAGCCAGGACCACUUGAGCAGGCUCCCCCUGGGCGACAGACCCAGAAGCCACCCAUCACAGGUGUGAAGUGGUCUAGCCAGGGCAAGACUGGCAAAGCAGGGUGGCUAGCCUGGGCUUACAUUUCAGCUGUGGACUGACUACACACAGCAAUGGAUGGCAUGGGUUGGGGACAGAGCUAGGAGAGGCACAGGCAGCAGCUCUGACUCCUACCUCUAACCAGGGCACAGUGAGAGCUCCUGAUUGUCUCUUCCUGGUUAAGCCCAAGGUCAGGGUGAGCGGCAGCCCAGUCCUCCCCCGUGAAGAGAGAACAGCCCUGGGCAGCGUGUGGUAGUGAGUCUCAGAUUUAACUGGGACAGCUAAUCCCCUCCGGAAAAACAAAAGCAAGGGACACUCAGUGGCUAGAUGCCUUCACCCUGGCUCCAGCCCUGGGUUGAUGUCCUUGGCAUGGCCACAGCGUGUCCUGGGGCCACUGUGAGUUGCUUCAGGACGGCCUGUCCAUAGCACCUGUACCACAUGACCUGUGUCUUUCCUUCAAGGCACACUGACCUGGCCAAAGCGAACAGGGACAAACCGCCACCCUUGUUACAAGAGUCCAUGAGGGUUUCGUGACUACUGGCUUGACCAAGAGAUGGCUGUUUUGGGCGUUCUAAGAAUGUGACCCUGGAGCCGAGGCGAGGAAAGGCAGGUUUGCCUUGACCGACCGCCCUUAAGUCUUUCCUCAGGUUGCAAGCUCAGCAGAAGUCUGGUGGGUCAAGCCACUUUCCAUCUUGCCUGCAAAUCAUCGGCCAGCAGGGUUCACAUGCCGGGUAAUGAACACGCGGGGAGUCUCUUGCUUUCUGUCUGAUCGGACACCCCAGCUGUGCCCUCUAAGGACAGAUCAAGGACUCAGCUAGAAUAGAGAUCGCUCUUCCCUUUGAAGAGGUUCUGUCUUUGCACCCUGCAAGGACCAUGACGACCUUCCUCCCUGACCUGUGCCCUACUGUCCUGGGCUCUGCUGCCUCUGCAGACCCCAGAAACAGGAGAGCCAGGAUGAGGUCACUCUGGCCACCUAUUGUCCUGAGUUACCUGCUCGGAGAAAUCUAUUUUACUCUUAAGCAACACAAUAACACCAGGAGCGAGGUUGUGAGACAGGGUUUUGGCAUGUAGCCCAGGCUAUCCUAGAACCCACUCUGCAGUACAUGUCUGAUGUGCUGAACUGCACAGCAGGCCUUGGAGAGGCACAGAGACUACCCACCAUCCACUCAGCAGCGUGGCCCCCCUUGCCUUUGGGCACCAGCAGCUUCUUUUCAAUCUCUGUUCUUCCUAGAGGCCUUCCCAAGAAGAAAAGGACACUCUUCUUAAACAGUUCACAUUUAUUAUUGUAACAAUAAAAAAAUCUUUUAAAGACUA
Molecule: long non-coding RNA, 2205 nt
Organism: Rattus norvegicus (Norway rat)
Lineage: Eukaryota; Metazoa; Chordata; Mammalia; Rodentia; Muridae
Source: RefSeq, a predicted model, not a curated record